CCCUGUUGCCAUGGCAGCGCGGCGCCGUCCCGCCGGGAGCGCCCCGGAGGCAGGGGAACCGGGAAUGUGUUAGCAACAGCUUGCCAGCAGGCCGAGGGAGCUGAUCCUGCCCCUUCUGCUCCGCCCUGGGAUAGGCUGAGAGACCAGGGCCUGUUCAGCCUUGAGAAGAGAUGACUGAGAGGGGACCUCACACUGACUAUAAGUGUCUGAAGGGAGGGUGCCAAGAGGAUGGAUCCAGGCUCUUCUCAGUGGUGUCAAGCAAUAGCACAAGAGGCAGUGGGCAGAAACUGAUACACAGGAAGUUCUACCUGAAUAUGAGGAAGAACACCUUUACUGUGUGACAGGAGCAGCAUCCAGCAGCUGUUUGGGACUCCUUGCCUGGGCGGUCCCAGAAAGGCCUGAGCCCACUGAUCCCGGUUAGGCUGCACUGGCUUUGUGCCUGUC
Long non-coding RNA from Lepidothrix coronata (blue-crowned manakin), 444 nucleotides. RefSeq lists it as uncharacterized. The record is from RefSeq and is a predicted model, not a curated record. The transcript is spliced from 3 exons. NCBI's taxonomy places the organism in Eukaryota, Metazoa, Chordata, Aves, Passeriformes, Pipridae.